GGCAGAGUAGGUAUUGUGCGUCAAGUGUUAGAGGAUGGGAAGUCGUCUCUAAACGAAAGGUUGACCUGCGAUACAAUACCGCGUCCGCUGUU
Molecule: non-coding RNA, 92 nt
Filed under: Oxobacter pfennigii
Lineage: Bacteria; Bacillati; Bacillota; Clostridia; Eubacteriales; Clostridiaceae
Description: THF-I sequence
Rfam family: THF (Tetrahydrofolate) riboswitch aptamer
About the family: THF riboswitch presents a pseudoknot that joins P1-P2 and the loop of P3 and two THF binding.
Source: Rfam by way of RNAcentral